This 496-nucleotide ribosomal RNA is filed under the name uncultured bacterium. RNAcentral describes it as "partial 16S ribosomal RNA". It matches the Rfam family "Bacterial small subunit ribosomal RNA", at positions 29 to 507 of the family's 1533-position model. The record is from RNAcentral.
AUGCACGCUGGCGGCGUGCCUAAUACAUGCCAGUCGAGCGAACAGACGAGGAGCUUGCUCCUCUGACGUUAGCGGCGGACGGGUGAGUAACACGUGGAUAACCUACCUAUAAGACUGGGAUAACUUCGGGAAACCGGAGCUAAUACCGGAUAAUAUAUUGAACCGCAUGGUUCAAUAGUGAAAGACGGUUUUGCUGUCACUUAUAGAUGGAUCCGCGCCGCAUUAGCUAGUUGGUAAGGUAACGGCUUACCAAGGCAACGAUGCGUAGCCGACCUGAGAGGGUGAUCGGCCACACUGGAACUGAGACACGGUCCAGACUCCUACGGGAGGCAGCAGUAGGGAAUCUUCCGCAAUAGGCGAAAGCCUGACGGAGCAACGCCGCGUGAGUGAUGAAGGUCUUCGGAUCGUAAAACUCUGUUAUUAGGGAAGAACAAAUGUGUAAGUAACUAUGCACGUCUUGACGGUACCUAAUCAGAAAGCCACGGCUAACUACGUG